RNAcentral lists this ribosomal RNA (488 nucleotides) under Veillonella sp. oral taxon 158. RNAcentral describes it as "bacterial SSU rRNA". It matches the Rfam family "Bacterial small subunit ribosomal RNA", at positions 28 to 485 of the family's 1533-position model. The record is from RNAcentral. Lineage: Bacteria; Bacillati; Bacillota; Negativicutes; Veillonellales; Veillonellaceae.
GACGAACGCUGGCGGCGUGCUUAACACAUGCAAGUCGAACGGAGAGCGAUGGAAGCUUGCUUCUAUCAAUCUUAGUGGCGAACGGGUGAGUAACGCGUAAUCAACCUGCCCUUCAGAGGGGGACAACAGUUGGAAACGACUGCUAAUACCGCAUACGAUCUGACCUCGGCAUCGAGGAUGGAUGAAAGGUGGCCUCUAUUUAUAAGCUAUCACUGAAGGAGGGGAUUGCGUCUGAUUAGCUAGUUGGAGGGGUAACGGCCCACCAAGGCAAUGAUCAGUAGCCGGUCUGAGAGGAUGAACGGCCACAUUGGGACUGAGACACGGCCCAGACUCCUACGGGAGGCAGCAGUGGGGAAUCUUCCGCAAUGGACGAAAGUCUGACGGAGCAACGCCGCGUGAGUGAUGACGGCCUUCGGGUUGUAAAGCUCUGUUAAUCGGGACGAAAGGUCCUCUUGCGAAUAGUUAGAGGAAUUGACGGUACCGGAAUA